RNAcentral lists this ribosomal RNA (634 nucleotides) under Rhodococcus sp. Se1Pt_301. RNAcentral's name for it is "bacterial SSU rRNA". It matches the Rfam family "Bacterial small subunit ribosomal RNA", at positions 382 to 1029 of the family's 1533-position model. The record is from RNAcentral. Lineage: Bacteria; Bacillati; Actinomycetota; Actinomycetes; Mycobacteriales; Nocardiaceae.
CCUGAUGCAGCGACGCCGCGUGAGGGAUGACGGCCUUCGGGUUGUAAACCUCUUUCAGCAGGGACGAAGCGCAAGUGACGGUACCUGCAGAAGAAGCACCGGCUAACUACGUGCCAGCAGCCGCGGUAAUACGUAGGGUGCAAGCGUUGUCCGGAAUUACUGGGCGUAAAGAGUUCGUAGGCGGUUUGUCGCGUCGUUUGUGAAAACCAGCAGCUCAACUGCUGGCUUGCAGGCGAUACGGGCAGACUUGAGUACUGCAGGGGAGACUGGAAUUCCUGGUGUAGCGGUGAAAUGCGCAGAUAUCAGGAGGAACACCGGUGGCGAAGGCGGGUCUCUGGGCAGUAACUGACGCUGAGGAACGAAAGCGUGGGUAGCGAACAGGAUUAGAUACCCUGGUAGUCCACGCCGUAAACGGUGGGCGCUAGGUGUGGGUUCCUUCCACGGAAUCCGUGCCGUAGCUAACGCAUUAAGCGCCCCGCCUGGGGAGUACGGCCGCAAGGCUAAAACUCAAAGGAAUUGACGGGGGCCCGCACAAGCGGCGGAGCAUGUGGAUUAAUUCGAUGCAACGCGAAGAACCUUACCUGGGUUUGACAUAUACCGGAAAGCUGCAGAGAUGUGGCCCCCCUUGUGGUCG